UACGUAGGGUGCAAGCGUUGUCCGGAAUUAUUGGGCGUAAAGAGCUCGUAGGCGGCCUGUCGCGUCGGCUGUGAAAACCCGAGGCUCAACCUCGGGCCUGCAGUCGAUACGGGCAGGCUAGAGUUCGGUAGGGGAGACUGGAAUUCCUGGUGUAGCGGUGAAAUGCGUAGAUAUCAGGAGGAACACCGGUGGCGAAGGCGGCUAUCUGGACAGAAACUGACGCUGAGGCGCGAAAGCUAGGGGAGCAAACAGG
This 253-nucleotide ribosomal RNA is filed under the name uncultured bacterium. RNAcentral describes it as "partial 16S ribosomal RNA". It matches the Rfam family "Bacterial small subunit ribosomal RNA", at positions 524 to 776 of the family's 1533-position model. The record is from RNAcentral.